RNAcentral lists this long non-coding RNA (409 nucleotides) under Nicotiana benthamiana. RNAcentral describes it as "long non-coding RNA (NBEN_LNC034701)". The record is from RNAcentral. Lineage: Eukaryota; Viridiplantae; Streptophyta; Magnoliopsida; Solanales; Solanaceae.
CCCGCCAGAAAUCUCCACCAGCGGCGGAAACUCCAAAAAAACCCUCAAACUCACACCAUACACUUCUCUCAUCCUCUUAAACAUCAUCUUACAAACCAAACCCCCAAAUACCCAACCAAAAUCUGUAGAUCUUGAAUCUAAAAAUGUCAAAACCCUAUAUCUACUUCUUUAUUUUAUUUUUCUAGUCGUUAUAAAAUUCUCCGGUCAAGAUCUUCCAUCAAGGAUCUUAGAUCUAAGACGGGAGUCUUGGAUUGAUAGUUUUUUUUACAAUUAGACUCUUUAAAUUUUGUAAUUCACGUUUGUUAUUUAUUUCAUGCAUUUAUGCAUUUUUUGUAUUUUUCGUUAAUUUCUGAAUUUAUUUACUAUUAUUUUUUUCCCGCAUUAUAUUCUAUUUUUAUUUAAUUUACGC